AGAGCUACAUGCUGAAAAGGUAGAGAUAUUAGAAGCAGCAAGGGCCCAGUGCCAAAGCUGGGGACCCAUGAAGGCAGAUGAAAGACUGGCACGGAUUAGGAUUUAAGUCAAGGUCAUGGGUUGAAUGUUAGGUGAGGAUGGCUCCAAGAGAUUCCCUCAGGGAUUUGAAGGCGGCAGCUGCAAGAUGGGAGAAUGUUCUCUCACAGUAACUGGAAUUGUGCUGAUUGGCAGAGACCAGCCUCCUCAUCGGAUUCUGACACAGGAGGAAGGCGAGGAUGGAGAGUUCUCAGAAGUGCUUAACAUGCAUUCCGAGUUUUAGAGUAUACACGAAUAAAGAAACUCCUAUGGAGUCUCUUGACGGCUGCCUGGAGAAUUGUAAAAUUGAGAAACGGACUGGAGUGGUCUGUGAUAGGCGGCCCAAGGAGGGGGCCAGUAACCAGCAGGUGGAGACUUCAACUCUCAGUCUGACAAGAAUAGAUGAGUUUUCUCUGGGCUAAUUGAGCACCUUAAAAAGUCACUGGGCUCAAGAUAUUUUGGUGGGCCCAUGCCCAGGGGGAUAGCCUGCCUAGGUGAGAAGCCCCCAGCAGCAUGAAGUUAGAGGAUACCUGCCAGUAGCUGGAGACGAAAGGUGGAGCGCCACAAGAGGUCAGUUUGCCUCAAGAAGAAGAGCCAAGAACCUUGCCAGUUCGACUUCUUGGUAGG
Lontra canadensis (Northern American river otter) is the source of this 702-nucleotide long non-coding RNA. RefSeq lists it as uncharacterized. NCBI's taxonomy places the organism in Eukaryota, Metazoa, Chordata, Mammalia, Carnivora, Mustelidae. The record is from RefSeq and is a predicted model, not a curated record. The transcript is spliced from 3 exons.